CUUUGUCUCUUUGAAUUGGUUAUAGUGCCUGGAGUGGCCUGGCACUGUCCCUCCAUUCAGUGUUGCACCAUGUUUGUGCAGUAUGCCACAGAAUAAGAGUCCCUGGCCACCCACAGUCCGGCCCCUUCUGUAUGUGUAGCUAAGGCAGAGAUUACACACUUCCUUGUUGUCAUACCCAUUCAUACCAUCAGUUGGAGCUCUGACAGGUUAAAAACAGUCAGCUGACACUCUCAGCCAAUCACAGCUGCCCAUUGCCUCUCAGGGUAAUACUUCCUUAUUAGCCAAAGCAGCACAGAGGGGAUAGACUGCCGUGGAC
This 316-nucleotide long non-coding RNA is filed under the name Pelobates cultripes (western spadefoot toad). Lineage: Eukaryota; Metazoa; Chordata; Amphibia; Anura; Pelobatidae. The record is from RNAcentral.